RNAcentral lists this ribosomal RNA (445 nucleotides) under uncultured bacterium. RNAcentral describes it as "partial 16S ribosomal RNA". It matches the Rfam family "Bacterial small subunit ribosomal RNA", at positions 354 to 796 of the family's 1533-position model. The record is from RNAcentral.
GUGAGGAAUAUUGGUCAAUGGACGAGAGUCUGAACCAGCCAAGUCGCGUGAAGGAAGACGGUUCUAUGAAUUGUAAACUUCUUUUGUGCAGGAAUAAAGUGGGUUACGUGUAACCUUUUGUAUGUACUGUACGAAUAAGGAUCGGCUAACUCCGUGCCAGCAGCCGCGGUAAUACGGAGGAUCCGAGCGUUAUCCGGAUUUAUUGGGUUUAAAGGGUGCGUAGGUGGAUUGAUAAGUCAGCGGUGAAAGUUUGCAGCUUAACUGUAAAAUUGCCGUUGAAGCUGUCGGUCUUGAGUGCAAAUGAGGUAGGCGGAAUGUGUUGUGUAGCGGUGAAAUGCUUAGAUAUAACACAGAACUCCGAUUGCGAAGGCAGCUUACUGGGAUGAAACUGACACUGAUGAACGAAAGCGUGGGUAUCAAACAGGAUUAGAAACCCUAGUAGUCC